This 429-nucleotide ribosomal RNA is filed under the name Pseudomonadota bacterium. RNAcentral describes it as "Proteobacteria bacterium partial 16S ribosomal RNA". It matches the Rfam family "Bacterial small subunit ribosomal RNA", at positions 355 to 776 of the family's 1533-position model. The record is from RNAcentral. Lineage: Bacteria; Pseudomonadati; Pseudomonadota.
UGGGGAAUAUUGGACAAUGGGCGAAAGCCUGAUCCAGCCAUGCCGCGUGUGUGAAGAAGGUCUUCGGAUUGUAAAGCACUUUAAGUUGGGAGGACGGGCAGUAAUCGAAUACCUUGCUGUUUUGACGUUACCGACAGAAUAAGCACCGGCUAACUCUGUGCCAGCAGCCGCGGUAAUACAGAGGGUGCAAGCGUUAAUCGGAAUUACUGGGCGUAAAGCGCGCGUAGGUGGUUCGUUAAGUUGAAUGUGAAAGCCCCGGGCUCAACCUGGGAACUGCAUCCAAAACUGGAGAGCUAGAGUAGGGCAGAGGGUGGUGGAAGGUCCUGUGUAGCUGUGAAAUGCGUAGAUAGAGGAAGGGACACCAGUGGCUAAGGCGACCACCUGGGCUCAUACUGACACUGAGGUGCGAAAGCGUGGGGAGCAAACAGG